RNAcentral lists this ribosomal RNA (231 nucleotides) under uncultured Xenococcaceae cyanobacterium. Its description in RNAcentral is "partial 16S ribosomal RNA". It matches the Rfam family "Bacterial small subunit ribosomal RNA", at positions 524 to 754 of the family's 1533-position model. The record is from RNAcentral. Lineage: Bacteria; Bacillati; Cyanobacteriota; Cyanophyceae; Pleurocapsales; Xenococcaceae.
UACGAAGGGGGCUAGCGUUGCUCGGAAUUAUUGGGCGUAAAGAGUCCGUAGGUGGUUCAGCAAGUCUAUUGUCAAAGGUCGGAGCUUAACUCCGGAAAGGCAGUGGAAACUGUUGAACUAGAGUAUGGUAGGGGUAGAGGGAAUUCCCAGUGUAGCGGUGAAAUGCGUAGAUAUUGGGAAGAACACCGGUGGCGAAAGCGCUCUACUGGACCAUAACUGACACUGAGGGAC